AUGGAGAGAUCAAAACGCCCCGACUCCGAGGUUGACAUCAACGUUGGCUACAUUUGGAGCUCGAUGGCCCCAAUCAAAGUCAAAAUAUUUGCUUGGCUUCUAUCCAGAGACAGGUUGAACACAAAGGCGAGCCUUCUGCUUGAAACCAUAUCCUCUGACUCUUCAUGCUCGCGACGUGAUCACCACAGUGAGGAUGCGAUUCACCUUUUCUCUAGUGCCCUAAGGCCACACAGGUUUGGCUGCUCCUGGGCUUCGACAUCCCAACCUCCAUCGACCUUGUCUGUGAGAUCAUCACACCGGGCGGCCUCGGCAUCAACAUCUGGCCUACCGUCGCCCUCGCCAUCUUGUGGAAAAUUUGGGAUGCCCGCAAUGUCUGUGUCUUUCGCAAUGAGCACCUUUCAACUACAUAUAUUUUUAGGAACUCGGAUUUUUCACUCUGAAUUUUUGGGUUUAGUAAAGAGGCUGCUAUGUCUUGUCGCCUCUACCUCUCCUCUCGCUCUGUAA
Molecule: ribosomal RNA, 504 nt
Filed under: Triticum aestivum (bread wheat)
Lineage: Eukaryota; Viridiplantae; Streptophyta; Magnoliopsida; Poales; Poaceae
Description: partial small subunit ribosomal RNA
Source: RNAcentral